This 2523-nucleotide long non-coding RNA is filed under the name Triticum aestivum (bread wheat). Its description in RNAcentral is "long non-coding RNA (TAES_LNC021163)". The record is from RNAcentral. Lineage: Eukaryota; Viridiplantae; Streptophyta; Magnoliopsida; Poales; Poaceae.
GCAACACACUCAUACCAUGAAUCAGCCUUAGGAGUCAUAGAUAUUAAUAUGUCCUUGUAGUUUACAUGAAUGGCGACAUAAAAGACAAUUUUUCAAAAGCAGCACACGCAACAUAAAAGCGAAGGUAUAAUAGGAGCAUUUUCAUCUCUUGUUGUGAAAAGGAUGUCCUGCCUAAAGAUAGAAAUGGACAAGUAUCAUAUAUUAUUGACACCACUUAUGUUGCUUAGAAAACAGAACAUAGAGAAAGAAAAUGGGGGAUAAAAUCGCUUCCACCAAUUCCAAGCUAAGAUAAACCUGAAUGGACAAGCACAUAUAUUAAGAAAGGAUAUAAUGUAAAGUAUAGAAUCACGUUGUAAGCCAAUUCCCAUAAGGCUAUGAUGGGAAGGAGGUCGGGAGGACGGCGCCGCAUGACAAGCCCUAUCCAUGCCGAACGACCUCAUGAUAUACAGCCUCCGUCGCUCACUAUUCAAUGCCCAUCGAAAAAUCAGGAUUGUAGUAGACAUGUCUUAGGUAAGAUACAUAUGUGUAAAUGUAAAGUUUUACUAAUCAAGCAUGCACUUAAUGAAAGUACCUAUUAUACAUAAAAGGAAAGUAACUGAGAUAGAUGCUGGGUUUUUUUCUUAGAAGGAAGUUGGUCAUCAAAUAGGCAUAGAUAAUCAAAUUUGGAAUAUCUCCAGGAACAUCUAAUUUUUGAAACUCAUGGCAAUAUGUAGUACACGUGUGUUAGGUCAGACAGAAGGUAUGCACAAAUGUAGAGAUUUAGUAAUGAAGCAUCCAGUGAACAAAAGAAACAAUUAUACAUGAAAAGAAACUAUGUGGGAUAUGCAUGUUUCAGUGUCACGUAACUUAUGUUACAGAACAAAACCAAGCUAGUAAGCAAUCCAUUGUGAAAUCUUCAUGUGGUAAAGAACAUUUGUAGAUUAACAUGAAAUAAAUAUUAUUGUCUGAGCACAGGCAAUCAUGCUGAUACAUUUAGUGAUUUAUUUAAGUAGUAAUAAUCAGUCUAUAUUGAUGUUCAAUUAGUGGGUAAGAGGUAUUGAGUAGAAUCGAUUUGUUUAACGCAUGACAUGAAUGAAUUAUGCAGCUACCUGGGGGCUUAAGCCAUUGCAUUGACAGAGGCAAUAGGUAGAAACAGAGAAAUAGUUGAAUUUUAAGUAACAAAUUUAGAGGCGUUGAGAGCAGAGAAGGAGACAGUCACCUUGUCAGAUCCAUGAGGAUGAAUUGAGGGAAAGGGGACAGGAGCAGCACGCGGUAGAUCCACUUUCAGGCUAGCUACCUCGUCACAGAUACUUCUAGAUAUGCAUUGUAAUAGUCAGACCACACAACAUGUAAUACUAAUGGCCUAAUGCCAUAGCCUGCAGCAGUCCAAAAUUGAACACAUUGGUAUAUAAUGGAUGGUAUUUGUGCAAAUCUAGAACAAUAAUUUACCUUUCACAACAAACAAAUCUCAAGAGCGUAUUAUUUCUUUAUUUCUCAAUAAUUCACAAUAAAUGAUCAAGCAUCUAUAUGCAUGUACCAAAGCAUUUACCUUUGUAAGAGCUUUCCAACUUUGCCUUCUGAGUUGUACCGGCUCUUCCAUGGUUAAAACUCCAUACCACCUUCGCCGCCACCAACGAUGACCGAUCCCAAUCAUUGAGCCGAGCCCGGAGGACGACAAAGGGACCGCCAUCUCCCUAAAGCGACGGGUUGCCCUAAGAUGGUUGAGACCAAGUCGAUGGCACACGCUAGUGAAACCUAGCCCAUCUUAAAACUUUGAACCUAGCCCGUCUUCAAACCUAGCAGAAGACCAAAGCAACAAAUUUAGAAUGAGGGACUGGUUAAUUGUAUUUUUUAAACUUCACGCGGAGAACUGAAUAUUUCUUCUUCUGUGUGGAAACGUAAACCAAAGCACAUAAACGCAUGAUAUAAAAUCAAGAAGAUCUGCAUUAAAACUUCUAUAAUGCAUAGUCUCUUGACAUGUAUAAUUAGUAUUUAAAAAAUGACAAUGUAAAGCAAAGAAAUUGGCAGCAAGAGAAAGAGCUAGCUAUCAAAUAGUUAGAUGCAGACCAGGUUAUCGGUUAGACACAGACCAGGUUAUCAGUUAGACAAAGAACAGAAAAUAGAACAAAGGAUCAUAAAGCAAUCCUUCGUGGUGAGAUACCCCUUAAUUUUUCUCGAAUUUGGAAUGAACUUCUUUACACACAACAACUGAGUAUAUUUGCAUGUAAUGUUGUACCAAGGAUGGACAAGUGAUGAACAUGAACUGAAUCACAAAAUUCGUAUAAUUUGCAUUGUUUGCUUUCUAGGACAAAGCAGAAUCACGAGCAACUAAAAUACAGUCAAGUAAGUCGAAAGCACUUAAUAAGAGGUCUGACAUCGGGCAUAUGCCAUGGAAAUAUAGUAGUAAGUGAAAAUGGACAUUUUUGUUGAUUCCUAUCUUUUACAUCCUGUAAGAAAGAGCAUGGAAUCUCAGUGGUGUGCGGCUAACACAGAAUAUUUACCAGAGUAUGCCACUGUCAGACAAUAACCAGCUCAGACAUGUAG